RNAcentral lists this ribosomal RNA (157 nucleotides) under Placidium sp. PJ-2019a. Its description in RNAcentral is "sequence contains ITS1". It matches the Rfam family "5.8S ribosomal RNA". Rfam says of the family: 5.8S ribosomal RNA (5.8S rRNA) is a component of the large subunit of the eukaryotic ribosome. It is transcribed by RNA polymerase I as part of the 45S precursor that also contains 18S and 28S rRNA. Functionally, it is thought that 5.8S rRNA may be involved in ribosome translocation. Lineage: Eukaryota; Fungi; Ascomycota; Eurotiomycetes; Verrucariales; Verrucariaceae. The record is from RNAcentral.
AAAACUUUCAACAACGGAUCUCUUGGUUCGGGCAUCGAUGAAGAACGCAGCGAAAUGCGAUAAGUAAUGUGAAUUGCAGAACUCAGUGAAUCAUCGAAUCUUUGAACGCACAUUGCGCCCGUCAGUAUUCUGGCGGGCAUGCCUGUCCGAGCGUCAU